RNAcentral lists this long non-coding RNA (5868 nucleotides) under Lupinus angustifolius (narrow-leaved blue lupine). RNAcentral describes it as "long non-coding RNA (LANG_LNC001599)". The record is from RNAcentral. Lineage: Eukaryota; Viridiplantae; Streptophyta; Magnoliopsida; Fabales; Fabaceae.
AUCCAGCCUCUGCUGCAUCCACGGAAACAAACCGGCACCUUGAAAGUUUAGAGAAUUGACUCCUUGGUCUCCAGGUCCACCUCUCAGCCACAUUAGCCCAUUAGUUGUCUCGUCUCUGCCAUCUGUAAACACAUGACCCUUUGUAAACACGGGAAACAAGGAAGUGUCCUCAAAACAAUGAAACCUAGGAAACUUAUUCCAUUGUGUUUCUGGACAUGAAGAAUGGGUGUAAUAUGAACCAAAGAACACAUGUGGCUAGCAGACAAAAAAUGUAAGCAUUCAAAUUCGACUACUUUCUAAGAAAAAGAAAAUACAUUGUUUGAAAAUUGUCCUUUUUGAGAUGGAGGGAAAAGUAAAGGAGAAAUGUAUGCAUGAAUGUAAAAUUGCAACAAAUAUGUCUUCACUUCAAAAAUGAAAAUUUUGUUUUCUUACACCCAAUCAUAACAUUAGUGUCAUCGUAAUAUUUCAACAAUGUACAUCAACAAUCAGAAGGGAGAUAAUGGGAAAUCAGUAUUGAGAAAACAUGUACCAAGAAAAGAUGAGGAGCCAGGAUGCCAUGGACGUUUCAAUCUGAGGGGAAAUAGUGAUGGAUACAUCGGAAAUGUUGUUAAAGGCUCAAUUUCCCACAAUGACACCCGUGGCUGUCUCUCUCCUGCUGUGGAUUCAUCCCAACCAACCUAUGCACAGGGAUUGUAAAACAGGGUAAAGCAAAAAAAUGGGCUCAUGAAGGAUGCAGAGUCCAGAGUCUUGGACAUUGAAUUUAAUUUGUCAGUAACAAGCAUGGAAUAGAAUACAAAAAAUUAUGUUGCAGCAAACCUAAUGAUUUGAUGAAGAAAAGGGAACACAACUAAAUUAUGUACAACAACAAAAAAGCCAUUUUCCGCUAGAGGGGCUCAACUUCAAGGAUCAUACGACAUCAUUGUAAUCUUAUUUAAUUUAAAUCUAUAUUUUCAAAAUUGCAUUUAAAACAAAGUUCUUUUCAAUUAAGGCUAAUCAACUCAUCUUAUUGAGGCUUUUAAUGUCAUUUUCCGCAGGUCCACAUCUGCUGUCUCUAUCCUUUGUGCCACUCCAUGUGGCAGGAAAUAUGAUUGGCCAGAAAAAUAUUUAAUAAUUGUAAUUUUAACUUAAAUAAUUUUUUUCAACCAAUCAGAAGUAAUGAUACAUAGAGUGGUAUAAAAAGUGAGACAGCAAAUGUACUCCCAUUUUCCGCACAUGGCUAAUCCACCAGACAAGGUCCAUUUUCUCUCUCUAAUGUAUUAACUCUGAAUCAUAUCUUCUCUUGUAUAUCCACUCAUCCAACAGAACAUCUCCAUCUCCGCAACACCAUGCUUAUGCUGGCUAGCUUUUUACCGCCUAACAUUCAAUAUUUACAAAAUGGCAUCAACUCUUCGGUAAGAACCAGAUCCUUGUAAAUCAACCGCAGGAAGUUGGUAUGUCUCAAUGCAACGCACCUGCCUAGAGGCACUUUGCUAAAACAAAUAACAUCUGAAGCAUUUUCUUUUACCUCAUUAUCUCGUUAAACAAUUUCGCGCCAGAUUAAACUUUUCUCUCCUAGGUAUUUCCACACCCUAAUAGGUAUAUUAUCUAGUUCAACUGUUUUACUAUUAUCCAUCCUCAUUAGUGCUUCUUUUACCAAACACUCUUGAAUUCUACAAUAAAAGGUAUAACUUUGGUCUUCUUCUCCAGUGUUAAGAAUAUCAAAGUUCAAUAAUGUCCCGAGUCCUUCAUUAAACAACUGGUGAAAAUAACCUAUCAGAGUCUAGUUAAUAUUAUGUAGCUUAAACAAGGCCCACGUGCCAGCUGUGUAGCUCGCUAACCACUUACUAUAAAUAAUGGUUAGCAUUCUGUAAUCACUGAAUUGAAUCACUAACAGAAAAGAGAAAACAGAUUCAGUUAUCAUUCACCCUCCCUCUUCUGUCUCUAUGCUUUCAAUUUCUAACAUAACCUCAUAAUCUCGUACAAAGGGUUGGGAAGGGGGAGGGAGGGAAGGGAAAAUGAAGGAAAUCCUCUCCCUUGUUUUGGAGUAUAAGAUUUAGAAGAGGAGGGUAAACCAAUGAUAAUGUAAGAAUAUUUUUUAUUUUUCCUUUAAAAAUGUAAUUAAUAAUGAGAAAUGGACAAUAAUGUAUAAUUAUAUAAUAUUACUAAAAAUAUUUAGCUAUUUUGACAUUUUAUCUCAAAAAAUCCCAAAUUGGGAGAACAUUAAAAUUAGACACAUGGAGGGAGAAACCCUCCAAAACCUUCCCCUCUCCUUCAUCCAACUCCCAAACAACCCUUCCCUUCCAAAACCUCAAAAUCUCAAACAAAGCCUAAAUAAAUAUUCCUUUCUCAUCAUCAUUCACCACCUUCUUAGUAUAUCUCUUAUCUACCUCAUAUUUUUUGCAAUACAAAUAAAUGAUGUGAAACAUGAUUACAAGUCUUGAAAAUUUUAUUCAUUAACCAGUCACAAUUCACAACUUUCACAAGAUUAUCCUUCUUAGUUCUUAGUCCUUAUGCAAAGCCUACGGAACAAGUCUAUAAGUUCCCACGGGAGGGCUACAUGUACACAUUUAUCUGUAAGUGGAGAGCAAGAGUGGCUGUUCCAUGAGUAGAAUCCAUGGUCACAAGACAGCGUCAAUAUUAUUAAGCCAAGCCUUACUCUUAUGUUUAUAAUUGCAAAGUAGCAAUAACUUUCAUUAAAUGACAAAAGGUGUCAUAUAAACCACUAUCUAAUCUUAUGUAUCACAUUGUGAUCUUACUUACCUUGACUGAUCGCCAAUGAGAAUUCGGCCAACGAACAGGAUCCAAGUCACUUAUGCCAGUUAUAGUACCCAUGUACCUGCAAAAAAAGGUGACUUGUGCAUAAGGUAUAAUAGUUUGGUGUCACACUACCAAAGAAUAGCAUUUGGCACUCAAUUUUCACCACCUUUAUAUUGAAAACCACCAUUUUGUUUUAUCUCAAUCCCAAAAUCCCAGACUACCACUGCCAUCAUACUGCAACUGCUAACUAUUUUUUCUGCUCAAUGCUCACAUCCCAAAAUUUUAAGCUCAUUUUUAUAAUUAAUCAAUUGACUCCUCCUAAUUACUGUAGAGGGUAGAUGGAUUUUAUAGGCAUAAAUCCCAUCAUCAAUAAAAUUGCCUCCUUAGAAAGUAUUGAUGCAGAUGCCAUACCAAACUCUUUAUAGGUAAGCCAUUUUAGAGGGGACAACCUCUGUAACAUACAUUUAUAAGUUACAGCUAUAUUUACCUUUGCAAAAUUCAGUUAAGUGGUCUAAUAAGAGGUGCAGGAAACAUGUCUACAAUUUAAGAGGAAAGAAACACGAGGCACUUAAGAAAAAACAUUUAAUGGCUACAAGUACCUACGGACACUUGACUCUUCAGUCUCAAAAAGCAUCCUAAAGCGCAUGCCAACAGAAACACGUGUAUGGUACACGGCUUUAAUAUAUUUUGAUAGUGGAAUGACGAACUCGGAUGGGCUAGCCCUGCCAAGAUAUAGGUGUCAAAUGAAGGACAAAUUCUAAUAAAGAAGCCAAAGAAAUGGAAAUUUUGACAAUAUUCACAACCUUGGAUUAUAGAACACUGUAAAGCAGCUAUUGGUUGCUGCAGCAUGGGCAGCAGCAGCAAGAAGCCCAAUGUGCAUACUAUCACUUGAUAGAACUGACGAUGGCAUCACAGUUUGUGGCCGAUUGGCACGACGUAUUCCCAAAAGAAGCUGAUUUUUUUCAUUCCUAAAAAUGAAGAAACAUAGAAAACAAUAACACAAGCAGUUUGCAACUUCCAAGGAGAGAAAAAGGAUGCCAAAAAAGGUAAAAGGAAAUAAAAUAUACCAUAUGAAAAGUACAGAAUCUCCAGCAACAAGCCUUUUUGCACUAACAAAUACACUCCAUCCUGUUGUAAGAAGGUGCCGUUUUGGCUGCCCUGAAAUGAUAUGCAAGGAAUAAGAUAUCAUCUUGUGCAGAAAAUGCAGCUUAUUAAAAAUUCAGAAGUCAAAUAUAAUUAGUGAUGGUAGUAGUCUAGAAACAGUGUCCUGAGAAUCUGCACCAGUGCUAUUCAUCCUUUGACCUGAACGUUGAAGGAUUGCACCGCUUGCUCUCACAUUUUCUGAAUAUCUUCGGGGGAAAGUAUUUUGAUAUACCAAACGUUAUUCACGAAUGAUCUGCAGGAGUUUAUGCAGAAAAUCAACACACCAAAAACCAGAAUGUCAAGAAAGUUUAAUCAAUAGAAAUAGCUAUAUUAUGUACUUAUUAAAAUAUACACUAAAGAAAAGUAUCCACUUACUCCCACGGAUCGUCUCCAAGGAGAAGAACAUCAUUCUCCCUGUCGACGAAUACAAGCUGCCAGCCUGAUCUAAGAGGAUCUUCUAAUUUCCCCUCAAUCGCAAACAUCUGAGCCAAUUCCUCUCGCAGCUCAUGAUAGCUGUUGAACCGAGAGAUGUCGAGUGAACGCCCAACUGAUCCUGAUUUGUAAACCUGUGAAAAGACAAUGUUAAACUACCAUAUUAAAUAAAAGGACAAGUUGCACCAAGACUAAAGGUUAUAAUUCAAACCUUCACAAAUGUUCGUGUCUGGUUUUGAGGGUCAAGUUGCCCCGGACUUUGCAACAACUCUGAUGAGUCUUGCAUGCAACCAUAAAGAGAAUCCUGGAAUCCAGAUUCCACUAAUGGCAUUGUCGAUGAAUCAGUGUCAGCUGAUGAAGUAAUAUAACGAGGGACAGUGGUGGGAAGAAGAAGGCCAGAUGAAUCGAUAUUGACACCAAAGAGAGUAGAAUUUUGGGAAUCUGAAUUGCAAUGUGGUGACACCAUUGUAGCAUCUUUUCCAGAAUAUUGCACGUGUGACACUGAGUUGCCGAAGGGAAUGACCUGUAGAGGUGUACACUCGAGCGCCCAUGAUUGUUGUUGUAACUGUUGUUCAGUUAGCAUGGACUGGGCACUUCUGGAUAAAUUCAAGAGAUUACCACUCCCUUCAGGACAAAGUGACCCAAGCAUGUUUUGUCCUGGCGAAACUGAAGCAGCGGAUAACUUCAUGCUUGAAUCAAAGAAAUCCGGUUUUGAAUAUGAUGGUGAAGGCAGAUUAGAGUGUUGCCUCUGAUGGAGCUGUUCAGUUUGAAUUAAAAGUGAAUCUUGAUAAGUGUGUUGCUGCUGCUGUGCCUGGUCUUCUCGAUUGAUUGGUGGUUUCAGAAGGAGCUGCUGCGACAGGUUCUCAGUCAAUACUUGGGCUUGUGGUUGCAGAAUAUUAGGAGACACUGAUUGCUGAAUCACUUGUUGCUUCUGAAGCUGCAACGGAGGGUUAGAGUUUCCUGAUUGUUGAAGAUAGAAAGGCUGUUGAAAAUUCAUCAUUUGUUGCCUCAAGAGAUCUCCGCUUCCUAAGUUCUGCAAACCAGCUGCUGCUGACAUGGCUUGAUACUGCUGAUUCUGAUCAUUUCCAAGCAUAGUUGGAUCCAGCCUCUGCUGCAUCCAUGGAAACAAACCGGCACCUUGAAAGUUUAGGGAAUUGACUCCUUGGUCUCCAGGUCCACCUCUCAGCCACAUUAGCCCAUUAGUUGUCUCGUCUCUGCCAUCUGUAAACACAUGACCCUUUGUAAACACGGGAAACAAGGAAGUGUCCUCAAAACAAUGAAACCUAGGAAACUUAUUCCAUUGUGUUUCUGGACAUGAAGAAUGGGUGUAAUAUGAACCAAAGAACACAUGUGGCUAGCAGACAAAAAAUGUAAGCAUUCAAAUUCGACUACUUUCUAAGAAAAAGAAAAUACAUUGUUUGAAAAUUGUCCUUUUUGAGAUGGAGGGAAAAGUAAAGGAGAAAUGUAUGCAUGAAUGUAAAAUUGCAACAAAUAUGUCUUCACUUCAAAAAUGAAAAUUUUGUUUUCUUACACCCAAUCAUAACAUUAGUGUCAUCG